GGGUUGUGAGGUUAAGCGACUAAGCGUACACGGUGGAUGCCCUGGCAGUCAGAGGCGAUGAAGGACGUGCUAAUCUGCGAUAAGCGUCGGUAAGGUGAUAUGAACCGUUAUAACCGGCGAUUUCCGAAUGGGGAAACCCAGUGUGAUUCGUCACACUAUCAUUACGUGAAUACAUAGCGUAAUGAAGCGAACCGGGGGAACUGAAACAUCUAAGUACCCCGAGGAAAAGAAAUCAACCGAGAUUCCCCCAGUAGCGGCGAGCGAACGGGGAGCAGCCCAGAGUCUGAAUCAGCUUGUGUGUUAGUGGAACGGUCUGGAAAGUCCGACGGUACAGGGUGAUAGUCCCGUACACCAAAAUGCACAGGCUGUGAACUCGAAGAGUAGGGCGGGACACGUGGUAUCCUGUCUGAAUAUGGGGGGACCAUCCUCCAAGGCUAAAUACUCCUGACUGACCGAUAGUGAACCAGUACCGUGAGGGAAAGGCGAAAAGAACCCCGGCGAGGGGAGUGAAAAAGAACCUGAAACCGUGUACGUACAAGCAGUGGGAGCCUCUUAAUGGGGUGACUGCGUACCUUUUGUAUAAUGGGUCAGCGACUUAUAUUCUGUAGCAAGGUUAACCGUAUAGGGGAGCCGAAGGGAAACCGAGUCUUAACUGGGCGUUAAGUUGCAGGGUAUAGACCCGAAACCCGGUGAUCUAGCCAUGGGCAGGUUGAAGGUUGGGUAACACUAACUGGAGGACCGAACCGACUAAUGUUGAAAAAUUAGCGGAUGACUUGUGGCUGGGGGUGAAAGGCCAAUCAAACCGGGAGAUAGCUGGUUCUCCCCGAAAGCUAUUUAGGUAGCGCCUCGUGAACUCAUCUUCGGGGGUAGAGCACUGUUUCGGCUAGGGGGUCAUCCCGACUUACCAACCCGAUGCAAACUGCGAAUACCGAAGAAUGUUAUCACGGGAGACACACGGCGGGUGCUAACGUCCGUCGUGAAGAGGGAAACAACCCAGACCGCCAGCUAAGGUCCCAAAGUCACAGUUAAGUGGGAAACGAUGUGGGAAGGCACAGACAGCCAGGAUGUUGGCUUAGAAGCAGCCAUCAUUUAAAGAAAGCGUAAUAGCUCACUGGUCGAGUCGGCCUGCGCGGAAGAUGUAACGGGGCUAAACUGUGCACCGAAGCUGCGGCAGCGACACUAUGUGUUGUUGGGUAGGGGAGCGUUCUGUAAGCCGUUGAAGGUGUGUCGUGAGGCAUGCUGGAGGUAUCAGAAGUGCGAAUGCUGACAUAAGUAACGAUAAUGCGGGUGAAAAACCCGCACGCCGGAAGACCAAGGGUUCCUGUCCAACGUUAAUCGGGGCAGGGUGAGUCGACCCCUAAGGCGAGGCCGAAAGGCGUAGUCGAUGGGAAACAGGUUAAUAUUCCUGUACUUGGUGUUACUGCGAAGGGGGGACGGAGAAGGCUAUGUUAGCCGGGCGACGGUUGUCCCGGUUUAAGCAUGUAGGCGGAGGUUCCAGGUAAAUCCGGUACCUUAUUAACGCUGAGGUGUGAUGACGAGGCACUACGGUGCUGAAGUAACAAAUGCCCUGCUUCCAGGAAAAGCCUCUAAGCAUCAGGUAACACGAAAUCGUACCCCAAACCGACACAGGUGGUCAGGUAGAGAAUACCAAGGCGCUUGAGAGAACUCGGGUGAAGGAACUAGGCAAAAUGGUGCCGUAACUUCGGGAGAAGGCACGCUGAUAUGUAGGUGAAG
This 1734-nucleotide ribosomal RNA is filed under the name Citrobacter sp. wls715. RNAcentral's name for it is "partial 23S ribosomal RNA". It matches the Rfam family "Bacterial large subunit ribosomal RNA", at positions 1 to 1767 of the family's 2925-position model. The record is from RNAcentral. Lineage: Bacteria; Pseudomonadati; Pseudomonadota; Gammaproteobacteria; Enterobacterales; Enterobacteriaceae.